UACAGAGGUCUCGAGCGUUAAUCGGAGUCACUGGGCUUAAAGGGUGCGUAGGCGGUUCCGUAAGUGCUUUGUGAAAUCCCAUGGCUUAACCAUGGAAUGGCUUGGCAUACUGCGGAACUUGAGGUUGGUAGGGGUCGCUGGAACUCUAGGUGGAGCGGUGAAAUGCGUAGAUAUCUAGAGGAACGCCAAAGGUGAAGACAGGCGACUGGGCCAAUUCUGACGCUGAGGCACGAAAGCGUGGGGAGCGAAC
This 250-nucleotide ribosomal RNA is filed under the name uncultured bacterium. RNAcentral describes it as "partial 16S ribosomal RNA". It matches the Rfam family "Bacterial small subunit ribosomal RNA", at positions 524 to 773 of the family's 1533-position model. The record is from RNAcentral.